This 788-nucleotide ribosomal RNA is filed under the name uncultured Verrucomicrobiota bacterium. Its description in RNAcentral is "bacterial SSU rRNA". It matches the Rfam family "Bacterial small subunit ribosomal RNA", at positions 37 to 833 of the family's 1533-position model. Lineage: Bacteria; Pseudomonadati; Verrucomicrobiota. The record is from RNAcentral.
UGGCGGCGUGGAUAGACAUGCAAGUCGAACGGGGUUUAGUUUGUAGUAAUACACGCUAAAUCCAGUGGCGAACGGGUGCGUAACACGUGAGUAAUCUGCCGGGAAGUGGGGGAUAGCUCGCCGAAAGGCGAAUUAAUACCGCAUAUGACAAGGGAAGACAUCUUUCCGAAGUCAAAGUCGCAAGACGCUUCCUGAUGAGCUCGCGGCCUAUCAGCUAGUUGGUGAGGUAACGGCUCACCAAGGCAAUGACGGGUAGCUGGUCUGAGAGGACGACCAGCCACACUGGAACUGAGACACGGUCCAGACACCUACGGGUGGCAGCAGUCGAGAAUUUUUCACAAUGGGGGAAACCCUGAUGGAGCGACGCCGCGUGGAGGAUGAAGGUCUUCGGAUUGUAAACUCCUGUCAUGCGAGAACAAGAAAGUGAUAGUAUCGCAAGAGGAAGAGACGGCUAACUCUGUGCCAGCAGCCGCGGUAAUACAGAGGUCUCAAGCGUUGUUCGGAUUCAUUGGGCGUAAAGGGUGCGUAGGUGGCGUGGAAAGUUGAGUGUGAAAUCCUAGGGCUUAACCUUAGAACUGCACUCAAUACUCCCAUGCUAGAGGAAUGUAGAGGAGAGUGGAAUUCACGGUGUAGCAGUGAAAUGCGUAGAUAUCGUGAGGAAGACCAGUUGCGAAGGCGACUCUCUGGGCAUUUCCUGACACUGAGGCACGAAGGCCAGGGGAGCAAACGGGAUUAGAUACCCCGGUAGUCCUGGCAGUAAACGGUGCACGUUUGGUGUGGGCGGGCUC